UACGUAGGUGGCAAGCGUUACUCGGAAUCACUGGGCAUAAAGGGCGUGUAGGCGGAUGCGUAAGUCCGGUGUGAAAUCCCUCGGCUCAAACGAGGAAGUGCAUUGGAUACUGCGUAUCUUGAGUGCGGAAGGGGAGAAUGGAACUCUUGGUGGAGCGGUGAAAUGCGUAGAUAUCAAGAGGAACGCCGGUGGCGAAAGCGGUUCUCUGGUCCGUAACUGACGCUGAGGCGCGAAAGCUAGGGGAG
RNAcentral lists this ribosomal RNA (245 nucleotides) under uncultured bacterium. RNAcentral's name for it is "partial 16S ribosomal RNA". It matches the Rfam family "Bacterial small subunit ribosomal RNA", at positions 524 to 768 of the family's 1533-position model. The record is from RNAcentral.